Molecule: ribosomal RNA, 446 nt
Filed under: uncultured bacterium
Lineage: Bacteria
Description: partial 16S ribosomal RNA
Rfam family: Bacterial small subunit ribosomal RNA
Source: RNAcentral
CCUACGGGUGGCAGCAGUAGGGAAUUUUCGUCAAUGGCGGGAACCCUGGCCGAGCAACGCCGCGUGAACGAAGACGUCAUUCGUAGUUGUAAGUUCUUUUAAUAGGGAAGAAAUAGAUACUUGAUGUUACCUGAAGAAUAAGCCUCGUCUAACUACGUGCCAGCAGCCGCUGUAAUACGUCGGGAUCGAGCGUUAUCGGGAAUUAUUGGGCGUAAUGGGUGCGUAGAUGGCUUAGUAAGUCUUUUGUAAAAAUGCUGGGCUUAACCAUGAAGGGCAAAUGAUACUGCAAAUCUAGAGUAUAGAAGAGGUAGGCGGAAUUAGGUGUGUAGCGGUGAAAUGCGUAGAUAUAAGUUAGAACACCGGUAGCGAAGGCGGCUUACUGGGUUGAUACUGACGCUGAGGCACGAGAGCGUGGGGAGCAAACAGGAUUAGAUACCCCAGUAGUC